Molecule: ribosomal RNA, 483 nt
Filed under: uncultured bacterium
Lineage: Bacteria
Description: partial 16S ribosomal RNA
Rfam family: Bacterial small subunit ribosomal RNA
Source: RNAcentral
GACGAACGCUGGCGGCGUGCUUAACACAUGCAAGUCGAACGCUGAAGCUCAGCUUUUGUUGGGUGGAUGAGUGGCGAACGGGUGAGUAACACGUGAGUAACCUGCCCCCUUCUUUGGGAUAACGCCCGGAAACGGGUGCUAAUACUGGAUAUUCACUGGUCUUCGCAUGGGGGUUGGUGGAAAGGGUUUUUCUGGUGGGGGAUGGGCUCGCGGCCUAUCAGCUUGUUGGUGGGGUGAUGGCCUACCAAGGCUUUGACGGGUAGCCGGCCUGAGAGGGUGACCGGUCACAUUGGGACUGAGAUACGGCCCAGCCUCCUACGGGAGGCAGCAGUGGGGAAUAUUGCACAAUGGGCGCAAGCCUGAUGCAGCGACGCCGCGUGAGGGAUGGAGGCCUUCGGGUUGUGAACCUCUUUCGCUCAUGGUCAAGCCGCAACAAUGGUUGUGGUGAGGGUAGUGGGUAAAGAAGCGCCGGCUAACUACGUG